Cyprinus carpio (common carp) is the source of this 534-nucleotide long non-coding RNA. RefSeq lists it as uncharacterized. The record is from RefSeq and is a predicted model, not a curated record. NCBI's taxonomy places the organism in Eukaryota, Metazoa, Chordata, Actinopteri, Cypriniformes, Cyprinidae.
UUAAAUUUAUAUACUGCGCGGGUCGCCUCCCUUGAUGAAUGAGGGCGGUGUUUCACUAAAGUUCGGAGAGAUUCUUCGCGCUCAUUGGCUGCCGCCUCUGUGGAUACGCUGGUAGCGUAGUGUUGUUUGGUGAUGCAAAGCGCGAAAAUUAGGCGGCAAUACACAACACUUAUUAUCGUGCUUUACCAGCGAAGACAAAUGUGUAUCUGUAAAGACGAAGCAUUCGAAAGGUCUGAAGAUAGAAAGACCGACAAAAGGAAAGACGAGCACAAAUCCCUUCUUUUUGUUGGACAGAGAUGGGGUUGCAGGUAGAUCACAAAUCCUGACAGGCUUACAGUCUUCGUGGCUCUGUCUGAUGGUGUCUAGGUCUUCUGCAUGGAUGAAGUGGUAGCAGGCCUGAGAUGUAGUGUUGAUGUGACAACACAUAUUUGGCACACAUUAUCAUUUACACCAAUUGGGGCAAACACUAGGGCAAAGGUAACUGAGAGUGAAAGGCAUGCUGGUGGGUUACCUGUUCUCACAGUAGGUGACCUG